GCCAGCAUGGCAUAGUGGUUAGAGCAUUGGACUACCACUCUGGAGACUAGGGUUCAGUUCCCCAUUUGGCC
Molecule: non-coding RNA, 71 nt
Organism: Phrynosoma platyrhinos (Desert horned lizard)
Lineage: Eukaryota; Metazoa; Chordata; Lepidosauria; Squamata; Phrynosomatidae
Source: the annotation of a GenBank genome assembly